Molecule: ribosomal RNA, 582 nt
Filed under: uncultured bacterium
Lineage: Bacteria
Description: bacterial SSU rRNA
Rfam family: Bacterial small subunit ribosomal RNA
Source: RNAcentral
CCCGCACAAGCGGUGGAGCAUGUGGUUUAAUUCGACGCUACGCGCAAAACCUUACCUGGGCUUGACAUGCUUGUGGUAGAAACCCGAAAGGGUGCCGACCUGCUCUUCGGAGUAGGAGCUUGCACAGGUGCUGCAUGGCCGUCGUCAGCUCGUGCCGUGAGGUGUUGGGUUAAGUCCCGCAACGAGCGCAACCCUCAUCCUUUGUUGCCCUUCACGGGGCUCUCUAAGGAAACUGCCGGCGAAGAGCUGGAGGAAGGUGGGGAUGACGUCAAGUCCGCAUGGCCCUUAUGCCCAGGGCUACACACGUGCUACAAUGGCAGGUACAAAGGGGCGCCAAGCCGCGAGGUGGAGCCAAUCUCAUAAAGCCUGUCCGAGUUGGGAUCGGAGUCUGCAACUCGACUCCGUGAACCUGGAAUCGCUAGUAAUCGUGGAUCAGCACGCCACGGUGAAUACGUUCCCGGGCCUUGUACACACCGCCCGUCACACCAUGGGAGUGGGCUGCAAAAGAAGUAGGUAGUUUAACCUUCGGGAGGACGCUUACCACUUUGUGGUUCAUGACUGGGGUGAAGUCGUAACAAGGUA